This 90-nucleotide non-coding RNA is filed under the name human gut metagenome. RNAcentral's name for it is "TPP riboswitch (THI element)". It matches the Rfam family "TPP riboswitch aptamer (THI element)", at positions 9 to 90 of the family's 105-position model. Rfam says of the family: Vitamin B(1) in its active form thiamin pyrophosphate (TPP) is an essential coenzyme that is synthesised by coupling of pyrimidine and thiazole moieties in bacteria. The previously detected thiamin-regulatory element, thi box was extended, resulting in a new, highly conserved RNA secondary structure, the THI element, which is widely distributed in eubacteria and also occurs in some archaea. The record is from RNAcentral.
AAGGGGGGGCUUAUAUGGAUAAGCUGAGAUAGAAAUGUUAUUUCUGACCCUAAGAACCUGAUUUGGAUAAUGCCAACGAAGGGAGUUAGC